CUCGCCUCCCCUUGACGUGGCAAAGGCGGCACCAGCCGGGCCGGCCUGGCCGAGGUCCUCGCGGAGGCCGGAGGCGGGGCGGCGCCGGCCCGGAUUGCGGUGCCACGGCUGCUCCUGCUCGGUAGAGCGGACUGACUUCGCCGGGCGGAGGCUGCGGCUGGCUCGGAUCUCGUCGUAGGGCGCUGAAGUAAGAAUCAAGCUGUACAAUGACAACCUAUUUGGAAUUCAUCCAACAAAAUGAAGAACGAGAUGGAGUCCGAUUUAGUUGGAACGUUUGGCCAUCAAGUCGACUGGAAGCCACUAGAAUGGUUGUUCCAGUGGCAGCCCUAUUUACACCACUGAAAGAGAGACCUGACUUACCUCCCAUUCAGUACGAACCUGUUCUGUGCAGUAGGACCACCUGCCGUGCAGUUUUGAAUCCUUUAUGUCAAGUGGAUUAUCGAGCAAAACUGUGGGCUUGCAACUUUUGUUAUCAGAGGAAUCAGUUUCCACCUACUUAUGCUGGGAUAUCUGAACUGAAUCAGCCUGCUGAACUUUUGCCUCAGUUUUCUAGCAUUGAAUAUGUAGUUCUGCGUGGUCCUCAGAUGCCUUUGAUAUUUCUCUAUGUUGUUGAUACUUGCAUGGAAGAUGAUGAUUUACAAGCCCUGAAAGAAUCCAUGCAGAUGUCCUUAAGUCUCUUGCCACCUACGGCUUUGGUUGGACUUAUUACUUUUGGGAGAAUGGUGCAGGUUCAUGAACUUGGAUGUGAAGGCAUUUCAAAAAGUUACGUCUUCAGAGGAACAAAGGAUUUGUCUGCCAAACAACUGCAGGAAAUGCUGGGGCUUUCUAAAGUACCAGUUACUCAGGCAACACGUGGUCCUCAGGUACAGCAGCCACCUCCUUCCAACAGAUUCUUACAGCCAGUACAGAAAAUAGACAUGAAUCUCACAGAUCUUCUGGGAGAACUUCAGCGAGAUCCUUGGCCUGUCCCUCAGGGAAAGAGACCCUUGCGUUCCUCAGGAGUGGCCCUUUCCAUAGCCGUAGGGCUACUGGAGUGUACUUUUCCCAACACUGGUGCUCGUAUCAUGAUGUUCAUUGGCGGUCCUGCCACCCAGGGACCUGGCAUGGUGGUUGGAGACGAAUUGAAGACACCUAUAAGAUCAUGGCAUGACAUUGAAAAGGACAGUACCAAAUAUGUAAAAAAGGGAACUAAGCAUUUUGAAGCAUUGGCUAAUCGAGCUGCUACAACUGGCCAUGUUAUUGACAUCUAUGCCUGCGCAUUAGAUCAGACGGGUCUCCUGGAGAUGAAAUGCUGUCCCAACCUUACUGGAGGAUACAUGGUAAUGGGUGACUCUUUCAACACUUCCUUAUUCAAACAAACUUUUCAAAGAGUUUUCACCAAAGAUAUGCAAGGACAAUUUAAAAUGGGCUUUGGUGGGACAUUAGAAAUAAAGACCUCAAGGGAGAUAAAAAUUUCAGGAGCUAUUGGACCUUGUGUGUCUCUCAAUUCUAAAGGACCCUGUGUGUCUGAAAAUGAGAUAGGGACAGGUGGCACUUGUCAGUGGAAGAUAUGUGGACUCAGUCCCACUACAACCCUAGCCAUAUAUUUUGAGGUUGUUAAUCAGCACAAUGCUCCAAUUCCUCAAGGAGGACGCGGUGCAAUCCAAUUUGUGACCCAGUAUCAGCAUUCCAGUGGGCAGAGACGCAUCCGAGUGACCACCAUUGCUAGGAAUUGGGCAGAUGCUCAAACUCAAAUCCAGAAUAUUGCUGCGUCCUUUGACCAGGAGGCAGCUGCCAUUCUUAUGGCUCGGCUGGCAAUAUAUAGAGCAGAGAUAGAGGAAGGGCCAGACGUGCUUAGAUGGCUGGACCGACAGCUCAUCAGGCUGUGUCAGAAAUUUGGAGAAUAUCACAAAGAUGAUCCAAGUUCCUUCAGAUUUUCAGAAACUUUCUCCCUUUAUCCACAGUUUAUGUUUCAUUUAAGAAGAUCUCCUUUCUUGCAAAUUUUUAAUAACAGUCCUGAUGAGAGUUCAUAUUAUCGUCACCAUUUUAUGCGUCAAGAUCUGACCCAGUCUCUAAUCAUGAUUCAGCCUAUUCUGUAUGCAUAUUCUUUUAGUGGACCACCGGAGCCAGUUCUCCUGGAUAGCAGCAGCAUUCUUGCAGAUCGCAUUCUUCUCAUGGACACAUUCUUCCAGAUUUUGAUCUAUCACGGUGAGACCAUAGCACAGUGGCGGAAGUCGGGGUAUCAGGACAUGCCGGAGUACGAGAAUUUCCGGCACCUUCUUCAGGCCCCGGUGGAUGACGCGCAGGAGAUCCUGCACUCGAGGUUCCCGAUGCCGCGGUACAUCGACACCGAGCACGGCGGCAGUCAGGCCCGUUUCCUGCUUUCCAAAGUCAACCCUUCACAGACUCAUAAUAAUAUGUAUGCCUGGGGGCAGCCGCUGCUUAGAUCUUUUGGCCAAAUUGGACGUCUUACUCUACUUCAAACACACUGAGCAUCUUCCCAUCUUCGUGGCUGGAAUUCUGUAAUGAAAAAUGUGAUUUAAUUCAUGGACCAAAUACUUCUUGGAAAUGAUGACUUCUUGUUUGAGUCUGGAGCACCUAUUCUCACAGAUGAUGUUAGUUUGCAAGUAUUUAUGGAUCACCUGAAGAAACUUGCUGUGUCAAGUGCUGCUUGACAUGCUCAGCGUGUUCAGGACACUUAAGAUGAAAUAAUAUCUCAACUUCAGUUUUUCUUUAUUCAAUUUUUUCUUUUCUUUUCUUUCUUUCUUUCUUUUUUUUUUUGAGACAAGGUUUGCCUCUGUAGCUCAGGCUGGCCUUGAACUUGCUGUGUAGCCCAGGCUGGCCUUGAACAUAUGAUCCUCCUGCCUCAGCCUCCUGAGUACUGGGAUUACAGGUGUGCACCACCAUGCCCAGCUCCUUUUUCAGUUUAUCUGUGGAAACCGACAGAGAUAUCUCAAAACUUUUUUUUGGUGUCAGUAUGAUUUGAGAUGACAUGCAAAAAAAGUUCGCGUUUGUAGAGUAAGCUGAAGUAUAAUGAGAGCAAUGAGAACAAAUUUGUUUUAUUUGCCACAGUAUUAAAACUGGUUUUAGAAAUUUGAGUUCUAUAUAACUUAUGUUUAAGAGUAAGAUCUGUCUGCCUUGUACUACAGAUAUAACUUACCUUGUAUAUUGCAGACAAAUCAAAAGUGGCACUGAAUGUCCUCCUGACCUUUUAAAACCUAUUCAAUUUUAGCCAGAAAGGAACAAAUCAAUAGUGGUAAAUGUGAACAUUUUUGCAUAUUUGCUGACUAUUUUUCUGUGAUUUUUCAGCACUUAUGUAUGCCCUUGUUUUGUGCUUGCUCUGUUGAAGUGGAUUUAUUUUUAUGAUUUGUUUGAAAUUAUCUGACUUUAUAAUGGUAAUUUUCAUAAAGAUAAUAUCAUGUUUUUUGUUUAUUUGGAAAAAUUGUUUAGAGAUGAAGAAAUAUUUGGGGCAGGGAUGAUAAUCCCACAACUGACAGUAAAUGUGAAAUUCUUACUAAGUACCCGGUUUAUGUGACUAACUACAACACUUUUUUUUUUAAAGAAAAGAUUGCUAGAAAAUAAAGCAUUUUGUCACAGUACAUAAAGAAAGCCUUUGCAGUAAAAUGAAAAUUGUAACUGCUAAACCAAAAUUGGUUUUCAUUACAUUAUUUUGAUGUCUCCCCUUUUUCUGAGGUAAAUUUUACAUUAUAUCCUUCAGUAUUUUAACACUAUAUUGGGAGCCUACACAGUUCCUUUUUCCUCCUGCUUCCUUUUUUAUGAAAUUUAUUAAGAUUCUUAUUGAAACAGUAUUAUGUAAUGUUUGUUUAAUUGUGUCAUGUGAUACACAGUUUUAUUUUGAUUUAUUCAUUGAUAAUCAUUCACUUUUAUGUUCUAAGGUUUACUUGUAGCAAAUAUGUUUACAUUGCUAAGGCCAGAUAUGAUUUGACAAUAAAAUUCACAUAUCAAGUGCUGAAAUGAAAGGUGGUGCUCUGAUACAUGAUUAGAGAGACAGUUUUGAUGAUUGUACUCACAUGAACACAAUCACAGGAUGGUAAAACAGAAACUUGUAAUUAUUUAUAUUAUAUUCAUUUAGUUUAACUUUGUUCCAUCGUAUUUGAAUUGAACUGUGCUAGGCCAAAAUGCCAAUAAAAUACGCUCUUCUCUGA
Heterocephalus glaber (naked mole-rat) is the source of this 4145-nucleotide RNA transcript. It is a transcript of the gene named SEC23 homolog A, COPII component, with no coding region annotated. NCBI's taxonomy places the organism in Eukaryota, Metazoa, Chordata, Mammalia, Rodentia, Bathyergidae. The record is from RefSeq and is a predicted model, not a curated record.